GUGCUCGCUUCGGCAGCACAUACACUAAAAUUGAAAUGUUACAGAGAAAAUUAGCAUGCCCCUGUGCAAGGAUGAAAUGCAAAUUCAUGAAGCAUUCCAUAUUUUU
Myodes glareolus (Bank vole) is the source of this 106-nucleotide small nuclear RNA. The record is from RefSeq and is a predicted model, not a curated record. Lineage: Eukaryota; Metazoa; Chordata; Mammalia; Rodentia; Cricetidae.